GGAUGGCCGAGUGGUCAAAGCGAUAGACUUUUACUCAAUGGCCCCACGGGUCAGUGGUUCGAGCCCAGUUGAGGGUUA
Molecule: transfer RNA, 78 nt
Filed under: Dreissena polymorpha
Lineage: Eukaryota; Metazoa; Mollusca; Bivalvia; Myida; Dreissenidae
Description: tRNA-Lys
Source: RNAcentral